RNAcentral lists this ribosomal RNA (418 nucleotides) under uncultured Lactarius. RNAcentral describes it as "eukaryotic LSU rRNA". The stretch from base 1 to 122 matches the Rfam family "5.8S ribosomal RNA", at positions 33 to 154 of the family's 154-position model. Lineage: Eukaryota; Fungi; Basidiomycota; Agaricomycetes; Russulales; Russulaceae. The record is from RNAcentral.
UCGAUGAAGAACGCAGCGAAAUGCGAUACGUAAUGUGAAUUGCAGAAUUCAGUGAAUCAUCGAAUCUUUGAACGCACCUUGCGCCCCUUGGUAUUCCGAGGGGCACACCCGUUUGAGUGUCGUGAAAAUCUCAACCUCCUCGGUUUCUUCUGGACACCGAAGGAGGCUUGGACUUUGGAGGCCUUUGCUGGCGUCUCUCGCCAGCUCCUCUCAAAUGAAUUAGCGGGGUCCUCUUUGCCGAUCCUCGACGUGUGAUAAGAUGUUUCCAUGUCUUGGUUUCUGGCUCUGUUGCUUUUGGGACCCGCUUCUAACCGUCUCAACCCGAGACAAUGUUUGAGCGCGUCUCCCUUCUCGGGAAACGCCCUCAAGCCCACGAACCCUUGACCUCAAAUCGGGUGAGACUACCCGCUGAACUUAA